GAUGAACGCUGGCGGCGUGCCUAAUACAUGCAAGUCGAGCGAACAGACGAGGAGCUUGCUCCUCUGACGUUAGCGGCGGACGGGAGAGUAACACGUGGAUAACCUACCUAUAAGACUGGGAUAACUUCGGGAAACCGGAGCUACUACCGGAUAAUAUAUUGAACCGCAUGGUUCAAUAGUGAAAGACGGUUUUGCUGUCACUUAUAGAUGGAUCCGCGCCGCAUUAGUUAGUUGGUAAGGUAACGGCUUACCAAGGCAACGAGGCGUAGCCGACCUGAGAGGGUGAUCGGCCACACUGGAACUGAGACACGGUCCAGACUCCUACGGGAGGCAGCAGUAGGGAAUCUUCCGCAAGGGGCGAAAGCCGGACGGAGCAACGCCGCGUGAGUGAUGAAGGUCUUCGGAUCGGAAAACGCUGUUAGUAGUGAAGAACAAAUGUGUAAGUAACUAUGCACGUCUUGACGGUACCUAAUCAGAAAGCCACGGCUAACUACGUG
Molecule: ribosomal RNA, 497 nt
Filed under: uncultured bacterium
Lineage: Bacteria
Description: partial 16S ribosomal RNA
Rfam family: Bacterial small subunit ribosomal RNA
Source: RNAcentral